AGACAGGUGCUGCAUGGCUGUCGUCAGCUCGUGUUGUGAAAUGUUGGGUUAAGUCCCGCAACGAGCGCAACCCUUAUCCUUUGUUGCCAGCGGUCCGGCCGGGAACUCAAAGGAGACUGCCAGUGAUAAACUGGAGGAAGGUGGGGAUGACGUCAAGUCAUCAUGGCCCUUACGACCAGGGCUACACACGUGCUACAAUGGCAUAUACAAAGAGAAGCGACCUCGCGAGAGCAAGCGGACCUCAUAAAGUAUGUCGUAGUCCGGAUUGGAGUCUGCAACUCGACUCCAUGAAGUCGGAAUCGCUAGUAAUCGUAGAUCAGAAUGCUACGGUGAAUACGUUCCCGGGCCUUGUACACACCGCCCGUCACACCAUGGGAGUGGGUUGCAAAAGAAGUAGGUAGCUUAACCUUCGGGAGGGCGCUUACCACUUUGUGAUUCAUGACUGGGGUGAAGUCGUAACAAGGUAACCGUAGGGGAACCUGCGGUUGGAUCACCUCCUU
This 500-nucleotide ribosomal RNA is filed under the name Klebsiella pneumoniae. RNAcentral describes it as "bacterial SSU rRNA". It matches the Rfam family "Bacterial small subunit ribosomal RNA", at positions 1032 to 1532 of the family's 1533-position model. The record is from RNAcentral. Lineage: Bacteria; Pseudomonadati; Pseudomonadota; Gammaproteobacteria; Enterobacterales; Enterobacteriaceae. RNAcentral also lists the same sequence under 3 other names.